GACGAACGCUGGCGGCGUGCUUAACACAUGCAAGUCGAACGGAAAGGCCCUGCUUUUGUGGGGUGCUCGAGUGGCGAACGGGUGAGUAACACGUGAGUAACCUGCCCUUGACUUUGGGAUAACUUCAGGAAACUGGGGCUAAUACCGGAUAGGAGCUCCUGCUGCAUGGUGGGGGUUGGAAAGUUUCGGCGGUGGGGGAUGGACUCGCGGCUUAUCAGCUUGUUGGUGGGGUAGUGGCUGACCAAGGCUUUGACGGGUAGCCGGCCUGAGAGGGUGACCGGCGACAUUGGGACUGAGAUACGGCCCAGACGCCUACGGGAGGCAGCAGUGGGGAAUAUUGCACAAUGGGCGGAAGUCUGAUGCAGCAACGCCGCGUGCGGGAUGACGGCCUUCGGGUUGUAAACCGCUUUCGACUGUGACGAAGCGUGAGUGACGGUAAUGGGUAAAGAAGCACCGGCUAACUACGUG
RNAcentral lists this ribosomal RNA (468 nucleotides) under uncultured bacterium. RNAcentral describes it as "partial 16S ribosomal RNA". It matches the Rfam family "Bacterial small subunit ribosomal RNA", at positions 28 to 507 of the family's 1533-position model. The record is from RNAcentral.